This 453-nucleotide ribosomal RNA is filed under the name uncultured Sphingomonas sp. RNAcentral's name for it is "bacterial SSU rRNA". It matches the Rfam family "Bacterial small subunit ribosomal RNA", at positions 8 to 507 of the family's 1533-position model. Lineage: Bacteria; Pseudomonadati; Pseudomonadota; Alphaproteobacteria; Sphingomonadales; Sphingomonadaceae. The record is from RNAcentral.
AGAGUUUGAUCCUGGCUCAGAAUGAACGCUGGCGGCAUGCCUAACACAUGCAAGUCGAACGAAGGCUUCGGCCUUAGUGGCGCACGGGUGCGUAACGCGUGGGAAUCUGCCCUUGGGUUCGGAAUAACAGUUAGAAAUGACUGCUAAUACCGGAUGAUGUCGUAAGACCAAAGAUUUAUCGCCCAAGGAUGAGCCCGCGUAGGAUUAGCUAGUUGGUGGGGUAAAGGCCCACCAAGGCGACGAUCCUUAGCUGGUCUGAGAGGAUGAUCAGCCACACUGGGACUGAGACACGGCCCAGACUCCUACGGGAGGCAGCAGUGGGGAAUAUUGGACAAUGGGCGAAAGCCUGAUCCAGCAAUGCCGCGUGAGUGAUGAAGGCCUUAGGGUUGUAAAGCUCUUUUACCCGGGAUGAUAAUGACAGUACCGGGAGAAUAAGCUCCGGCUAACUUCGUG